GAUGAACGCUAGCGACAGGCUUAACACAUGCAAGUCGAGGGGCAGCACAGGUAGCAAUACCGGGUGGCGACCGGCGCACGGGUGAGUAACGCGUAUGCAACUUGCCUAUCAGAGGGGGAUAACCCGGCGAAAGUCGGACUAAUACCGCAUGAAGCAGGGGCCCCGCAUGGGGAUAUUUGCUAAAGAUUCAUCGCUGAUAGAUAGGCAUGCGUUCCAUUAGGCAGUUGGCGGGGUAACGGCCCACCAAACCGGCGAUGGAUAGGGGUUCUGAGAGGAAGGUCCCCCACAUUGGUACUGAGACACGGACCAAACUCCUACGGGAGGCAGCAGUGAGGAAUAUUGGUCAAUGGGCGCGAGCCUGAACCAGCCAAGUCGCGUGAGGGAUGAAGGUUCUAUGGAUCGUAAACCUCUUUUAUAAGGGAAUAAAGUGCGGGACGUGUCCCGUUUUGUAUGUACCUUAUGAAUAAGGAUCGGCUAACUCCGUGCCAGCAGCCGCGGUAAUACGGAGGAUCCGAGCGUUAUCCGGAUUUAUUGGGUUUAAAGGGUGCGUAGGCGGCCUUUUAAGUCAGCGGUGAAAGUCUGUGGCUCAACCAUAGAAUUGCCGUUGAAACUGGGGGGCUUGAGUAUGUUUGAGGCAGGCGGAAUGCGUGGUGUAGCGGUGAAAUGCAUAGAUAUCACGCAGAACCCCGAUUGCGAAGGCAGCCUGCCAAGCCAUUACUGACGCUGAUGCACGAAAGCGUGGGGAUCAAACAGGAUUAGAUACCCUGGUAGUCCACGCAGUAAACGAUGAUCACUAGCUGUUUGCGAUACACUGUAAGCGGCACAGCGAAAGCGUUAAGUGAUCCACCUGGGGAGUACGCCGGCAACGGUGAAACUCAAAGGAAUUGGCGGGGGCCCGCACAAGCGGAGGAACAUGUGGUUUAAUUCGAUGAUACGCGAGGAACCUUACCCGGGUUUGAACGCAUUCGGACCGAGGUGGAAACACCUUUUCUAGCAAUAGCCGUUUGCGAGGUGCUGCAUGGUUGUCGUCAGCUCGUGCCGUGAGGUGUCGGCUUAAGUGCCAUAACGAGCGCAACCCUUGCCACUAGUUACUAACAGGUAAAGCUGAGGACUCUGGUGGGACUGCCAGCGUAAGCUGCGAGGAAGGCGGGGAUGACGUCAAAUCAGCACGGCCCUUACAUCCGGGGCGACACACGUGUUACAAUGGCGUGGACAAAGGGAAGUCACCUGGCGACAGGGAGCGAAUCCCCAAACCACGUCUCAGUUCGGAUCGGAGUCUGCAACCCGACUCCGUGAAGCUGGAUUCGCUAGUAAUCGCGCAUCAGCCAUGGCGCGGUGAAUACGUUCCCGGGCCUUGUACACACCGCCCGUCAAGCCAUGGGAGCCGGGGGUACCUGAAGUCCGUAACCGCGAGGAUCGGCCUAGGGUAAAACUGGUGACUGGGGC
RNAcentral lists this ribosomal RNA (1446 nucleotides) under uncultured organism. RNAcentral's name for it is "16S ribosomal RNA". It matches the Rfam family "Bacterial small subunit ribosomal RNA". The record is from RNAcentral.